RNAcentral lists this microRNA precursor (76 nucleotides) under Myotis lucifugus (little brown bat). Its description in RNAcentral is "mir-9229 microRNA precursor family". It matches the Rfam family "mir-9229 microRNA precursor family". Lineage: Eukaryota; Metazoa; Chordata; Mammalia; Chiroptera; Vespertilionidae. The record is from Rfam by way of RNAcentral.
GGAACACCCCUAUGGAGCUGGACUUGUUUCAGUAGGGCUAUGGUGUUCACUGAGUCUGCCUCUUGAGUGUGUUGCU